Molecule: ribosomal RNA, 583 nt
Filed under: Arsenophonus endosymbiont of Nasonia vitripennis
Lineage: Bacteria; Pseudomonadati; Pseudomonadota; Gammaproteobacteria; Enterobacterales; Morganellaceae
Description: bacterial SSU rRNA
Rfam family: Bacterial small subunit ribosomal RNA
Source: RNAcentral
ACUUUCAGUCGUGAGGAAGGUGUUAAGGUUAAUAAGCUUAGCAAUUGACGUUAGCGACAGAAGAAGCACCGGCUAACUCCGUGCCAGCAGCCGCGGUAAUACGGAGGGUGCGAGCGUUAAUCGGAAUUACUGGGCGUAAAGGGCACGCAGGCGGUUAAUUAAGUUGGAUGUGAAAUCCCCGGGCUUAACCUGGGAAUGGCAUUCAAGACUGGUUAGCUAGAGUCUUGUAGAGGGGGGUAGAAUUCCAUGUGUAGCGGUGAAAUGCGUAGAGAUGUGGAGGAAUACCGGUGGCGAAGGCGGCCCCCUGGACAAAGACUGACGCUCAUGUGCGAAAGCGUGGGGAGCAAACAGGAUUAGAUACCCUGGUAGUCCACGCUGUAAACGAUGUCGAUUUGGAGGUUGUGGUCAAGAACUGUGGCCUCCGGAGCUAACGCGUUAAAUCGACCGCCUGGGGAGUACGGCCGCAAGGUUAAAACUCAAAUGAAUUGACGGGGGCCCGCACAAGCGGUGGAGCAUGUGGUUUAAUUCGAUGCAACGCGAAGAACCUUACCUACUCUUGACAUCCAGCGAAUCCUUUAGAGAU